Molecule: long non-coding RNA, 405 nt
Filed under: Trifolium pratense (red clover)
Lineage: Eukaryota; Viridiplantae; Streptophyta; Magnoliopsida; Fabales; Fabaceae
Description: long non-coding RNA (TPRA_LNC014064)
Source: RNAcentral
GAGAGGAAGAAGAGGAGAGCUUGGGAGCUAGGGCAAAGGGAGAGCUAGGGAUUCGAUAGCUUCGUCGUGUUUUCUUCGAAUCCAGGUAAGAGAGUAGAUUUCAUAUUUGUGGGUGACUCGAGGAAGGGGAGAAUGUCGAUUUCUCCUCACCCGAACUUCCUCCACCCCAUUUUCGUUUUAGUUGUGAAUGGAUUUUCUUAAUGGAAAUCGAUUCUAAGGUUCAUAACAUGUUUAACAUGCUCUUAUCAUGAUGUAUGAACGAAUCUAAUGGUUAAAAACGAGAUUUAUAAAGGAUUAAACUCAAGAACAUUGUGUCCUUGAGUGUUUUGAGUAAAAGUGUUCAAUCUUUACUUUUUCGAUGUUUAUGAUGUAGAUCUGAGAAAAGAAUUGUCCUUUUGUGUUUAG